This 400-nucleotide ribosomal RNA is filed under the name uncultured bacterium. RNAcentral describes it as "bacterial SSU rRNA". It matches the Rfam family "Bacterial small subunit ribosomal RNA", at positions 8 to 410 of the family's 1533-position model. The record is from RNAcentral.
AGAGUUUGAUCCUGGCUCAGAUUGAACGCUGGCGGCAGGCUUAACACAUGCAAGUCGAGCGGGGAAAGGUAGCUUGCUACCUGACCUAGCGGCGGACGGGUGAGUAAUGCUUAGGAAUCUGCCUAUUAGUGGGGGACAACAUUCCGAAAGGAAUGCUAAUACCGCAUACGCCCUACGGGGGAAAGCAGGGGAUCUUCGGACCUUGCGCUAAUAGAUGAGCCUAAGUCAGAUUAGCUAGUUGGUAGGGUAAAGGCCUACCAAGGCGACGAUCUGUAGCGGGUCUGAGAGGAUGAUCCGCCACACUGGGACUGAGACACGGCCCAGACUCCUACGGGAGGCAGCAGUGGGGAAUAUUGGACAAUGGGCGAAAGCCUGAUCCAGCCAUGCCGCGUGUGUGAAG